Molecule: signal recognition particle RNA, 100 nt
Filed under: Puniceicoccales bacterium
Lineage: Bacteria; Pseudomonadati; Verrucomicrobiota; Opitutia; Puniceicoccales
Description: signal recognition particle sRNA small type
Rfam family: Bacterial small signal recognition particle RNA
About the family: The signal recognition particle (SRP) is a universally conserved ribonucleoprotein involved in the co-translational targeting of proteins to membranes. Archaeal SRP consists of a 7S RNA and homologues of the eukaryotic SRP19 and SRP54 proteins.
Source: RNAcentral
GGUCGGGCCCUAUGCGGCGGCGCGUCGGCUAACUCCGUCAGGUCCGGAAGGAAGCAGCGGUCGUCAGAUGUGGCCGCGUGCUGUAGGUCACCUGAUCCUC